CCCAGCGACCAUGGCGUCACGGCGGGCUUGCUCGCCGGCGCGCGCGUGCGUGCUUCGAUGCGCGGCGCUCCGUCGAGCUGGCCGGACCGUGACGCGCGCGUGAUCUGCCUAGGGUUUGCGGUGGCGGCGCUACACCCGGCCACGGGUCUCCGGCUAUCAGGAAGGCAACGGCGCCGAUCGAUUCGAUCCUUAAGGACACCCCUGGAUCUUGCUGCAGGAGGUGGGUGUCAGAGAACCAACCUGAGGCACGAGCUAGCCUCCAAUUCUUGGGCUCCCGGACAACAAGGACAUCUCUGAACCUUCUCUCUGAAAAACACAAGACACACACACGAGCUUGUUGUCUCUCUACCUCUCUGUGUUUUAUUCAGUAGAACGACAGGCGGUGGCAGAAAGAGCCAUUCCACUACGAAUCUCUUAUGAGAGGGCCAGCAAAAGGUGAUCAAUCAAUGGAGACGAAGUAUUUGUCAAAUUGUUUGCAAGGGUGAUUGCCGCUUCUUUGUUCUGCCGGUGGAGAUUCAGUGUGUCAUUGCAAAUUCCUUACACUGGCAGUGUAUCAUAGCAAGUUCCUUACACCAGCAAAGCUUGGAGGAUAUUUUUACAGGUUCAACGCUUGCUUUAUUGCUUUCUUACCUUUCGUUCUUCAAGACAAUAUUUUCCUAGCAGUGCUCGAUAACUUUAAAUCCAUAUUUUUGUUCUUUGCAUUAUCACAAAACGGUGUUGUUCUAUCUUUUUGUUUUUUGAUUGAUCAUCAGCAACGACAAUGCAACCUACAUGUCCUACUUUUACUACUGUGCUUACCAUCAGAACCACAGCCCGAUGAGAACAUUCUGAACUAACAGAAGAUGGCUUGCUUCCCUUUUAUGGUACAUGCUUGGGAAUACUAAUUAUAGCUGACAGAAAACUUAUACAGAACUGAAUCAAAAGAAGCUGCUUUCAUUUUAAGAAUUUUUUGAAUCCUAAAAAAUGUGAAAUCUAUCUAAGGAAGUGCUUAUCACAUCGACACACAGCGAGUGCUUAGUCACAAUUUUACAUACAAUAUUGCUCAGUCCCCAUCAUAUAAACUGAUACCAUUUCAUUUUCAUUCCCUGCACUCUAUCUUCCUAUUUGAUCCUACAAUUGGCCUCAUUUAGUGUACUAUUACCUUUUCUUUUCACUGCGAGAUGCAUGCCUCAUUACCUGUAUGUGCCAUUCUGUAAAGGGAGUCCAGUACUAGCUAAUUUCACUUAGUACAAGAUGUAUGCCUGAUUAUCUGUGUGCGGUGGUUUGCCGAACGGGCCCUUACUAUCUAACAAUAAUUCUUCUUCCAUUCGAAGUGUUGUGAUUUCCAAACUCAAUAUUUUAGCAUAUUAUUUUCACCAAGCAUGAUGUGAUAUUGUAGAGUUUUAGGAUGAUGUGAAGCUCAUGGCUGCCAUGAACCGACAAGCUUAUAUAUUCACACUGUUAAAGUUUUAUCACUGCUGCUUGCCCGGUUACUCUCCUCUCAGACUGCAUAAUUGAAUUACCUCAAUAUUAUGUUCUAUUCUGUCCAAUCUCAUAUAUGCCGUUCCCAUUACAAACAAAUAUCUUUCUUAUUUCUCACAAUAACAAUUCUCUCAACACAUGCUCCACAGCACGACGACGACGAGCAUACGGAGACAUCAUCCGGAGUAAGUAUGUGCUCUGUUCAUAAUGUUUAGUAUGACCGGAAAGAAAACAACAACCUGCGGCUGCAGAGAUCAUAGUGUACAAAAUGGUGGCGAAGGUUACAUAUAGGGGACUGCUAUUACUUUUUUAGGCAAAAUUCUGAGUGCUUUAUGCAAGUGGUUGUCAUACGUUCAGAUUUGUAUAUUCUGUUGCUCUCGUUUAAUUUGCAGUAAGCUGACUUCGUUUCACUUUUGAUUUCUGUUGGUUAGUACAUCCUAAAGAUUGGUAAUGGAGAUGCUACCGAGUGCAUGAGUGGAUUCAUAGCCAUGGGCAUUCCUCCUCCCUAUGGACCUAUCUGGUAAAAUUAUGCGCGGCUUAUGUUCUCAGAGCCUUCUGCUUUUAUCGACAUUGACCUCUUAGUGUACUAUUGCACUCAUAACACAGACGAGUUAGUAAUUAAGGUUUCUUCAUCUGUGAGAUUUAUCUGCAGUCGUUGGGAGCACGAAACACCUCUGAAAUACUGAAAGCGAAUGUUCCACGAAACUGCUGUGCUGACUCUAACAGUGAGGACUUGCUGUCGUAGGAUCUUGGGCGAUAUAUUCAUGGGAGCCUACCAUGCCGUAUUCGACUAUGGCAAUACGAAGGUUGGGUUCGCGAAGGCGGCAUAGGGCUCCCCCGUGGUGGAUGGAUGAGCUGCAGAGCUGCCUAAUCUUCAGAUCGGUUUCGUCUUCGUCAAAGCAUGUAUAUGCAUAUGUUAGAUGCUUAAUAAUAAUUGUGUGAUCUGGGAUAAUAAACCUGUCUGUUAUGAUUUGUCCAAUAUA
Long non-coding RNA from Triticum dicoccoides, 2444 nucleotides. RefSeq lists it as uncharacterized. The record is from RefSeq and is a predicted model, not a curated record. Lineage: Eukaryota; Viridiplantae; Streptophyta; Magnoliopsida; Poales; Poaceae. The transcript has 5 exons.